RNAcentral lists this ribosomal RNA (514 nucleotides) under uncultured bacterium. RNAcentral describes it as "bacterial SSU rRNA". It matches the Rfam family "Bacterial small subunit ribosomal RNA", at positions 29 to 519 of the family's 1533-position model. The record is from RNAcentral.
AACGAACGCUGGCGGCGUGGAUUAGGCAUGCAAGUCGAACGCGAAAGAGGGAGCAAUCCCUCAAGUAGAGUGGCGAACGGGUGAGUAACGCGUGAAGAACCUGCCUUCAACAGGGGGAUAACACUCCAACGGGGUGCUAAUACCGCAUGAGACCACGGGUCCGCAUGGACCUGAGGUCAAAGGUGGCCUCUGCUUGCAAGCUACCGGUUGAAGAUGGCUUCGCGUCCCAUAGCUAGUUGGCGGUGUAAAAGACCACCAAGGCGACGAUGGGUAGCUGGUCUGAGAGGAUGGUCAGCCACACUGGGACUGAGAUACGGCCCAGACUCCUACGGGAGGCAGCAGUCGAGAGGCUUUGGCAAUGGGGAAACCCUGACCAAGCGACGCCGCGUGGAGGAUGAAGGCCCUUGGGUUGUAAACUCCUUUUGUCGGGGAAGAAAUGCGAUCAGGUAAACAAUCUGGUCGUUUGACGGUACCCGGCGAAUAAGCUCCGGCUAACUCCGUGCCAGCCGCCGCC